This 143-nucleotide unclassified non-coding RNA is filed under the name uncultured Ascomycota. Its description in RNAcentral is "sequence contains ITS1". The stretch from base 1 to 105 matches the Rfam family "5.8S ribosomal RNA", at positions 50 to 154 of the family's 154-position model. From Rfam's summary of the family: 5.8S ribosomal RNA (5.8S rRNA) is a component of the large subunit of the eukaryotic ribosome. The record is from RNAcentral. Lineage: Eukaryota; Fungi; Ascomycota.
GAAAUGCGAUAAGUAAUGUGAAUUGCAGAAUUCAGUGAAUCAUCGAAUCUUUGAACGCACAUUGCGCCCGCCAGUAUUCUGGCGGGCAUGCCUGUUCGAGCGUCAUUUCACCUCCUUCAUCCGAGAUUACCCGCUGAACUUAA